This 253-nucleotide ribosomal RNA is filed under the name uncultured bacterium. RNAcentral describes it as "partial 16S ribosomal RNA". It matches the Rfam family "Bacterial small subunit ribosomal RNA", at positions 524 to 776 of the family's 1533-position model. The record is from RNAcentral.
UACGUAGGGCGCAAGCGUUGUCCGGAAUCAUUGGGCGUAAAGCGCGCGUAGGCGGCCCGAUCAGUCCGCUGUAAAAGUCCAGGGCUCAACCCUGGAAAGCCGGUGGAUACUGUCGGGCUAGAGUCCGGAAGAGGCGAGUGGAAUUCCUGGUGUAGCGGUGGAAUGCGCAGAUAUCAGGAGGAACACCGAUAGCGAAGGCAGCUCGCUGGGACGGUACUGACGCUGAGGUGCGAAAGCGUGGGGAGCGAACAGG